Molecule: ribosomal RNA, 761 nt
Filed under: uncultured bacterium
Lineage: Bacteria
Description: bacterial SSU rRNA
Rfam family: Bacterial small subunit ribosomal RNA
Source: RNAcentral
GAUGAACGCUGGCGGCGUGCUUUACACAUGGCAAGUCGAACGGAGUUCUUCCUCCCUGAAACCGAUGUCGCUUGCUACGGAAGUUUCUUUUGGAAUUACUUAGUGGCGGACGGGUGAGUAACGCGUGAGUGAACCUGCCCUUGAGUGGGGAAUAACACCGAGAAAUCGGUGCUAAUACCGCAUAAUGUCGAGAGACCGCAUGAUCUUUCGACCAAAGGAUUUAUUCGCUUAAGGAUGGACUCGCGUCCGAUUAGCUAGUUGGUGAGGUAACGGCCCACCAUGGCAACGAUCGGUAGCCGAACUGAGAGGUUGAUCGGCCACAUUGGGACUGAGACACGGCCCAGACUCCUACGGGAGGCAGCAGUGGGGAAUAUUGGGCAAUGGGCGAAAGCCUGACCCCAAAAACCCGGUUGAAAGAUUGAGGUCNUCGGAAUUUAAACUUCUUUGAUCAGGGACGAUUUUGACGGUACUUGAAGACCAGUUCACGGCUAACUACGUGCCAGCAGCCGCGGUAAUACGUAGUGACAGCGUUAUCNGAUUACUGGGUGUAAAGGGCGUGUAGNCGNUUGCAAAGUCAGAAGUGAAAUUCCCGGGCUUAACUUGGGCGCUGCUUCUGAAACUGCUUAACUGNAGUGCUGGAGAGGAUAGUGGAAUUCCUAGUGUAGCGGUAAAAUGCGCAGAUAUUAGGAGGAACACCGGUGGCGAAGGCGGCUAUCUGGACAGUAACUGACGCUGAGGCGCGAAAGCACGGGGAGCAAACA